This is a small nuclear RNA of Coregonus clupeaformis (lake whitefish), 158 nucleotides long. RefSeq annotates it as U1 spliceosomal RNA. The record is from RefSeq and is a predicted model, not a curated record. The transcript has a single exon. NCBI's taxonomy places the organism in Eukaryota, Metazoa, Chordata, Actinopteri, Salmoniformes, Salmonidae.
AUACUUACCUGGCAAGGGAGACACCGUGAUCAAGAAGGCGGUUCACCCAGGUUCAGCCAUUGCACUACGGCUGUGCUGACCCCUGCGAAUUUCCCAAAUGUGGAAAUCUCGAUCGCAUAAUUUCUGGUAGUGGGGGACUGCGUUUGCGCUCUCCCCUG